GUAACGAUGACACCAGCGAUUAGUCGGUGUUAAUAUACGACCCGACUAGCAGCUUCCGGGAAACCAAAGUUUUUCGUUUCCGGGGGAAGUAUGGUUGCAAAGCUGAAACUUAAAGGAAUUGACGGAAGGGCACCACCAGGAGUGGAGCCUGCGGCUUAAUUUGACUCAACACGGGAAAACUCACCCGGCCCGGACACCGUAAGGAUUGACAGACUGAGAGCUCUUUCUUAAUUCGGUGGGUGGUGGUGCAUGGCCGUUCUUAGUUGGUGGAGCGAUUUGUCUGGUUAAUUCCGAUAACGAACGAGACUCUGGCCUAUUAAAUAGUCGGUAUAUCCAGAAAAGUUUACCGUACUUCUUAGAGGGACAAACGGCGUCUAGCCGCGUGAAAUAGAGCAAUAACAGGUCUGUGAUGCCCUUAGAUGUCCGGGGCUGCACGCGCGCUACACUGAAAGAAUCAGUAUGCGCUUUAACCUAGUCCGGAAGGAUUGGGUAACCCGAGCAAAUUCUUUCGUGCUUGGGAUAGGGAAUUGCAAUUAUUUCCCUUAAACGAGGAAUUCCCAGUAAAUGCGGGUCAUAAGCUCGCGUUGAUUACGUCCCUGCCCUUUGUACACACCGCCCGUCGCUACUACCGAUUGGAUGACUUAGUGAGGUCUUAGGACCGACGUAAAGGAGCUUUCGCGAGUUCUUUUUCGUUGGAAAUUUGAUCGAACUACGUUAUCUAGAGGAAGUAAAAGUCGUAACAAGGUUUCUGUAGGUGAACCUGCGGAAGGAUC
RNAcentral lists this ribosomal RNA (773 nucleotides) under uncultured eukaryote. RNAcentral describes it as "SSU rRNA". It matches the Rfam family "Eukaryotic small subunit ribosomal RNA", at positions 1031 to 1827 of the family's 1831-position model. The record is from RNAcentral.